Molecule: ribosomal RNA, 528 nt
Filed under: Staphylococcus sp. RMRC-SW-1-2
Lineage: Bacteria; Bacillati; Bacillota; Bacilli; Caryophanales; Staphylococcaceae
Description: bacterial SSU rRNA
Rfam family: Bacterial small subunit ribosomal RNA
Source: RNAcentral
UAGAGUUUGAUCAUGGCUCAGGAUGAACGCUGGCGGCGUGCCUAAUACAUGCAAGUCGAGCGAACAGAUAAGGAGCUUGCUCCUUUGACGUUAGCGGCGGACGGGUGAGUAACACGUGGGUAACCUACCUAUAAGACUGGAAUAACUCCGGGAAACCGGGGCUAAUGCCGGAUAACAUUUAGAACCGCAUGGUUCUAAAGUGAAAGAUGGUUUUGCUAUCACUUAUAGAUGGACCCGCGCCGUAUUAGCUAGUUGGUAAGGUAAUGGCUUACCAAGGCAACGAUACGUAGCCGACCUGAGAGGGUGAUCGGCCACACUGGAACUGAGACACGGUCCAGACUCCUACGGGAGGCAGCAGUAGGGAAUCUUCCGCAAUGGGCGAAAGCCUGACGGAGCAACGCCGCGUGAGUGAUGAAGGGUUUCGGCUCGUAAAACUCUGUUAUUAGGGAAGAACAAACGUGUAAGUAACUGUGCACGUCUUGACGGUACCUAAUCAGAAAGCCACGGCUAACUACGUGCCAGCAGCCG